Molecule: ribosomal RNA, 793 nt
Filed under: uncultured bacterium
Lineage: Bacteria
Description: bacterial SSU rRNA
Rfam family: Bacterial small subunit ribosomal RNA
Source: RNAcentral
AGAGUUUGAUCCUGGCUCAGAUUGAACGCUGGCGGCAUGCCUUACACAUGCAAGUCGAACGGCAGCACAGGUGCUUGCCCGGGUGGCGAGUGGCGAACGGGUGAGUAACACAUCGGAACGUGUCCUGGAGUGGGGGAUAGGCCGGCGAAAGCCGGGUUAAUACCGCAUACGAUCUGAGGAUGAAAGCGGGGGACCUUCGGGCCUCGCGCUCAAGGAGCGGCCGAUGGCGGAUUAGCUAGUUGGUGGGGUAAAGGCCCACCAAGGCGACGAUCCGUAGCUGGUCUGAGAGGACGACCAGCCACACUGGGACUGAGACACGGCCCAGACUCCUACGGGAGGCAGCAGUGGGGGAAUUUUGGACAAUGGGGGCAACCCUGAUCCAGCAAUGCCGCGUGUGUGAAGAAGGCCUUCGGGUUGUAAAGCACUUUUGUCCGGAAAGAAACUUCGUCCCUAAUAUGGAUGGAGGAUGACGGUACCGGAAGAAUAAGCACCGGCUAACUACGUGCCAGCAGCCGCGGUAAUACGUAGGGUGCGAGCGUUAAUCGGAAUUACUGGGCGUAAAGCGUGCGCAGGCGGUGAUGUAAGACCGAUGUGAAAUCCCCGGGCUUAACCUGGGAACUGCAUUGGUGACUGCAUCGCUGGAGUAUGGCAGAGGGGGGUGGAAUUCCCGUGUAGCAGUGAAAUGCGUAGAGAUGUGGAGGAACACCGAUGGCGAAGGCAGCCCCCUGGGCCAAUACUGACGCUCAUGCACGAAAGCGUGGGGAGCAAACAGGAUUAGAUACCCUAGUAGUCC